RNAcentral lists this ribosomal RNA (544 nucleotides) under Fusarium sp. ZH74. RNAcentral's name for it is "eukaryotic LSU rRNA". The stretch from base 220 to 373 matches the Rfam family "5.8S ribosomal RNA". Lineage: Eukaryota; Fungi; Ascomycota; Sordariomycetes; Hypocreales; Nectriaceae. The record is from RNAcentral.
UCUUGGUCCAAUUAGAGGAAGUAAAAGUCGUAACAAGGUCUCCGUUGGUGAACCAGCGGAGGGAUCAUUACCGAGUUUACAACUCCCAAACCCCUGUGAACAUACCUAUACGUUGCCUCGGCGGAUCAGCCCGCGCCCCGUAAAACGGGACGGCCCGCCCGAGGACCCCUAAACUCUGUUUUUAGUGGAACUUCUGAGUAAAACAAACAAAUAAAUCAAAACUUUCAACAACGGAUCUCUUGGUUCUGGCAUCGAUGAAGAACGCAGCAAAAUGCGAUAAGUAAUGUGAAUUGCAGAAUUCAGUGAAUCAUCGAAUCUUUGAACGCACAUUGCGCCCGCCAGUAUUCUGGCGGGCAUGCCUGUUCGAGCGUCAUUUCAACCCUCAAGCUCAGCUUGGUGUUGGGACUCGCGGUAACCCGCGUUCCCCAAAUCGAUUGGCGGUCACGUCGAGCUUCCAUAGCGUAGUAAUCAUACACCUCGUUACUGGUAAUCGUCGCGGCCACGCCGUUAAACCCCAACUUCUGAAUGUUGACCUCGGAUCAGG